Long non-coding RNA from Gavialis gangeticus (Gharial), 3829 nucleotides. RefSeq lists it as uncharacterized. The record is from RefSeq and is a predicted model, not a curated record. The transcript is spliced from 2 exons. Lineage: Eukaryota; Metazoa; Chordata; Crocodylia; Gavialidae.
CGCACUCAAAAUUCUUUGUUUUUUUUAAGUGCAUACAUGUGGUGCAUGCAUGGGCUGUGACACCCUCCCGCCACCUCGGCCCCAGGUGUUGAGGCCAGCCACUACUCUCCCACGGCCAGCCUGGCUCAGGGUUUUGUUUACAAUGGCCUCCUUCACCAUGCCCUAGGUUGGAAAGGGGUGGUUUUCUGUCCACCUCCUUCCCCAGGGCCGGGAGAGCACUGGGAUCUCUACCUCCAUCAGCAGCAUCCUCUCCCCAGCAGCUCGGAGAAAGCAAUGACCAGACUCCGGCCUGCUUUCAUCUUGGAGGUUCACAUGGAUGCUGAGAAUUAACCAUCCUGGAGUGUGGGGUAGUGAAAAAGCCCAUUUCCCUAGGCAGGUUCUCACCCAGGUCCUGUUGCAAAGGGACGGGGAAGACCGUGCCCAGCCUAAAUCCACCUGAAGGGCAAACUGGAGCUGGAGUGGGGGAAAAAAAGCUUCCAUGACUGCUCUUCCCUCAAGCAAAGCAAGCAGCUGGCACCUGAGGACUAGGGCAUGGUGUCAAAGGGUCUCUGCUCUGAGAGACAUGGGAUGAGACAUUGAGACUGUGAUACUCUCUGGCCCAGAAAGGGGACUGACUUGUGGGAGGUGAUCUGCCUUCAGUCUGGGCAGUAACAUGGAGGGCUGCAGAAGAGCAGCUGGUCAGUUCAUCACCUCCUUUUCACAGCCCCGCUGCCUUCAAUCAGCCUGGGACAGGGGAGGGGAAGGGAUGAUCGGAAACUCUGCUACACCUGGGGAGGGGAGGGAGUUUUCCAUUCAGUCUCUUCUCUUGAUGCAUCUUUGACUCUGCCACGCAUGGGGACGUUCCCCUGAGGGGAGAGGAGCAAUAACAGGCUGAUGGAGGAGCCAGCACUGGCAGGACUGGCCACUGCCCAGGGCUUUGCUUCUCCACCUCCUUGAGAUUUCAGGUGGAGCCUGACAAGGCUCGGCAGCACCCUCAGCCAGUGGGGCACACAGGUGCCAAGAACCAGCCAAGCAGGAUCUACCAUCCCGGCCAAACGCAGACCCGCGCGCACUGUGCCAAGCAAAACAGCAUGCCACGGCUCCUCGUGGUGUCCUGCCCCAGUGGGGAAGGGAGGAGGUCGUGCAUCCUGUCCCGGUGGAGACGGAGAGGCCAGGCCGUAGCCCGAGCCAGCUCUUCCACUGGCUUGCAGAAUCUUCUUCCCUUGUCCAGGCCUUGUAUGGGGCUGCAGACAAGAAUGGAGCAUCGCCACAGGACUGGCGUGAGGGAGCCAGGCGACAAGUGCUAGGAAAUAGCAUCCCCUGACUCCUCUUCUGAAGUGCAGGCUGCUGCCACCACCUCACUAAACAGCCCAGGCCUGAGAUUUCCACAGGCCUCAAAACCUGGUCUCGUUUUCUCCCUGCUCUGCUAGUGUCAGUGCUGUUCGUUGAUGUGAUGUUGGCAGGGAGGCCAGGCAUCCAAGAGCUGUCUGCCCUGCGGGCAGGACCAGACCUUUGCCUUCCCUUUGUAGAGCAGAGGCAGAGGGGCUAAGGAGGGGAAGGUUCUACCUUGUUCUAGUUUUGUGUUACUCAGCAGAAGGAAAAGGUUAUAACGUUGUUAAUUGACAGGAUUUUACCCCUUUAUUCCAUAGCAGUGUGGUGCUAGAAGACCCAAAAUGCAGCCAAAGCCGCAUUGACUGCAUUUAUAGCCAACAUUUUCAGGAGGUAGAAAAGAUUUCGGAGAAACGGGACUGCCUUCCUAAUUUCAGGGGAUGUUAGUGUUGUUUCAGGCAGCUAGGCCAGUUCUGUAUGGGAUGCAGCAGCCUCGGAGCUCUCCGAUAACUGAACAGGUGAUAAUGACAGCUGGACAGUCGCUGAAAUUAGGGGAGUUUCAGGCGAUUUGUAAUGAAAGCUGGAGCAUGUCGCCUGUACGCCAUAUCUAAAUUCAGCCUUGGUUUGGUAGGGACCCAGAACGACCAUCUGAUUGCUGUGCGGAGAGCUAAAUGAGAGUGGAUCUCAGCUCUAUUUCUAGAUCCUGAGCCAAGUUGCAGGGUGAUGCAUGGAAAGACUUGUUGGUUUCAGAGGACUCUGGCUCAGUGCUGGCAGGGGACAGGUGUCUGCAUUGCUGACGACUCAACCAGGGUUAUUGCUGGCAGAGCAUUCAGCGACAGUCGGCACGAAGGCUGAUUGUCCUCCUCUGGGGACAUGGCUCCAUCAGGACCUACCCCAUUGCUGUCCAGACUGCAUCGCUUCUGUUGGACUUCCAACAUCAUGGCCUUCGGCUUAGCACCUUUCACCUGCUGUUCAUUCACCCCCGUUUGUUAAGCACAAGAAGUUGAAAUAUCAGUCAUGUUUUGGGUGCUGAUGCCCGAGUGAAAAUUUCCCACGCCAUCUCCCAGGCUUCAUCGUCUGCCUUCCACACACAACAUGCUUAGUUGGAAAUGUCCUUCAGACUUGUCACAGCAUCAGUUUCCAUCAUCACGGGCCUUUCCUACACCUAAGGAGGCGGAUGAAUGCAGCAGAAAUGCCUCCGAUUUGUGCUGGCCGUGGUGGUGCAGUGUUGCAGCCUGCCCGAACUUCUCCAUAUUUCUCACGUAUGGCAGCUUCAUCUGCUGCUCCCAGGGGUAGAGAAUGAGGCCAGGCAGUCAAAAGGAAUCGAAGAUGGGGAACAUUUGGCCUAAAGAAGGAUGAGUUUUGCACGUGUCAUAGCUGUGUAAAGUUGAGCUGCUGCCUCUGAAGGUCCAGGUGUUUUGGUGAGUCCCUUCCCCCUCUUCUGCAAGCUGAAGGUGGAAACGGGGUAGCUUGUUUUAGAUCUGGUUGUGUGGCUACCUCAGAGAAGCAAAAUGCUAGGGCAAGGCCAGCACCGCAGACCUCAUCCCUCCUCUUUUUUUAUUCUCUCUCUUUGUAUUAACUUCUACGUGUGUCCAGCUUCCAGAAAUACAGUUGUCUCCUGCCUGAAGGAUUCUGAUGCUGCCGUCUCACGUGGGAAGCACAGGAGCAGAGGUUGAAAGCGGAGUCCUUCGUGCUAUUUCAAAGGGAACCGCGUGCCUCCUAGAUCAGACCAAGGUUGGCCGUCCCUGCCUUAAAACAAGCGCAGUACGUGAUAUUGCCGCUGUUUCACUCUGAGGUGCUACGAUCAUUUCAGUUUCUGACGUGAUGGAGAUGUUCAAUAGUGUUGUGCCCCACAGUUUUACUGCUGUAUCCCCUUCCCCGUCACCACUACCACUGUCCCUUCAUUUCCUGUAUUAUCUGAUGUUUGGUGAAUAGCAAUACCUGUGUGUCAAGGCAGGUCAGCCGUGAUGCUGCAAUCCUCCAUGCUACCGUAACCCAUCGUUGCCAGUCUGAUGUGACCACCGAGUCCCUGGCGAGGGAGGGCUCUCCCCAAACCACUUCCAUCACCCAUCCUUUCCUAGCUCAUCUCAGUGGAAAGGCAUCUCCUGUGCAGUUGCUGAGGCCCUAAAUAUCGUGGGACGUUCUGCAGCGCUGCCUGGCCUUGGCGCGCGGCCUGCGAGGCUGGGGACAGCAGAGGGGAAGGGGCUUCGUUGCAUAUUGAGGUCACAAAGCUCACUUGAAUUAAAGACCUUGGGGAAACUAUAGGUCAUGUAACCUACUUCUCCAAAAACCAACUUGAAGCUCCCUCUUUCUUGUAUGGCCUCCAGUGUUGUCUCCCUCCGUUUAGGUUUUUAUUCUGUUGAUUUAAGUGGUAACUAUGUGCCUUUCCUGCUCAGGACCUGUUACAAACAACCUUUCGGCUUUCAUUUGUGUCUAACAUUAUCCUCCCCCCUCCUGUCAUACUAUUAAACAUGAACAUAUUGCAUGGAAUACAAUUCAAUAAAAAGUGUGGCUUAACCAA